GACGAACGCUGGCGGCGUGCCUAAUACAUGCAAGUCGAACGCAUUUUCUUUCACCGUAGCUUGCUACACCGAAAGAAAAUGAGUGGCGAACGGGUGAGUAACACGUGGGUAACCUGCCCAUCAGCGGGGGAUAACACUUGGAAACAGGUGCUAAUACCGCAUAAUUCCAUUUACCGCAUGGUAAAUGGAUGAAAGGCGCUUUUGCGUCACUGAUGGAUGGACCCGCGGUGCAUUAGCUAGUUGGUGGGGUAACGGCCUACCAAGGCUGCGAUGCAUAGCCGACCUGAGAGGGUGAUCGGCCACACUGGGACUGAGACACGGCCCAGACUCCUACGGGAAGCAGCAGUAGGGAAUCUUCGGCAAUGGACGCAAGUCUGACCGAGCAACGCCGCGUGAUUGAAGAAGGUUUUCGGAUCGUAAAACUCUGUUGUUAGAGAAGAACAAGGAUGAGAGUGGAAAGUUCAUCCCUUGACGGUAUCUAACCAGAAAGCCACGGCUAACUACGUG
This 507-nucleotide ribosomal RNA is filed under the name uncultured bacterium. RNAcentral's name for it is "partial 16S ribosomal RNA". It matches the Rfam family "Bacterial small subunit ribosomal RNA", at positions 28 to 507 of the family's 1533-position model. The record is from RNAcentral.